This is a long non-coding RNA of Chroicocephalus ridibundus (black-headed gull), 566 nucleotides long. RefSeq lists it as uncharacterized. The transcript is spliced from 3 exons. The record is from RefSeq and is a predicted model, not a curated record. NCBI's taxonomy places the organism in Eukaryota, Metazoa, Chordata, Aves, Charadriiformes, Laridae.
CUCACCGAGGGGCGGCUGAGGGGAGGCUCGACCUGCGGGCCGGUCAGAGCUGCCCGCCGGGGUUCCUCCCUCGGGGGCUGAGGUAAACUGACCUCCUCCUUCGGUCGAGGUGGUCCCCCGUGAGGGCUGGGGCCGCCGCCCUUUUUCAGGUGCCUCCUCGCCCUUGGCCGCACCUGGCUGUUGGCGGGAGGGUCGCGACAGAGUGACCCCGCGGCUUGUCCCGGGGGUGGCAGGGCCCAGGCGAGGGGCCCGGCGCAGGCGGGGGCCCUGCAGCGCUGAGGCGAGGCCGGGGCGAGCGGAGCACACCUCCCCGCCCGGGGCGGUUCCCACAGAGCUUUCCUCCAGGUGCUGCGGUCGCACGGGAUUGAAAUUCGAAGCAAAACUCACGUUAGGGUAGAAUAGUCUGCUGUAUGGAUUAUUUGUCUGCAUUUGAAGAACAACAAGACUCCUAAAAAGGUCUGAGCUGGAUCCUGCCUGAAAUUGAAACUCACUCUGAACAGGGACUUGAACUGAAAAAGCCUAGCAGCAAAACAGUAACUUCUUGGUUCUUGACUCCAUGGCACCAC